CAUGUCUCUCUAAUGUUCCAGGACCCACGCAGCAUAGACACAGUCUCUUCUAUUUCUCUCUUUCCUAUUACAGGACUAGCUGCCGUCAGAGGAAAAGCAUGGCAGAGUCAGUGUCAUGGGGUCAAAUGGUUACCUUUGGAAUCGGAGUGAGAUUUCUUAACUCUGCAGUAAAGACCCUUUUUCCUUUAACUCUCCUCGGGCUAUUUAAAACAAAACACGCAUACGCACACUCCCCAGAAAUCCCCCCCCCCUUUUUUUGUAAUGUGUGGAAUGCAGGAGCGCUGCUUGCUUUGCCAGCACAACUUUUACAUUUCUUGAAUCGCAACUGCGCAGUUAACAAUUUUAACAGCUACCUUUGUUAACUGACUAAAUCAGCAGAGGGGUGUCCAGUUUUAUCUUCUCUUCUAAUGCACAUGUGAACUUGCCAUCUUCCUAUGGUCAUCUGUUUAAAACUACAGAGCUGGGUUUGUACCAAUCUGACUUGUUUUAAAGUAAAAAAAAUUAAAACAAAAUAAACCAAGUAUUAAAUUUGUAGCUUCAGUAUUAAAUUUGGACGAGUCAUCUACCUUAGCGCGAAACGUAGUAAAAGCCGCAAGGUGAACCUUACCGGGGCUCAUUGCGAGGACCACUAGUUUAAGGUGCAGAAGAUAGUCGAGGAUGGUAGGUAAGGAGGAUGUUGAAGGAACCGGCUGGUGACAAGCACACAACAUUGAGAAUCUUUUCCAUUUCUGAAGGUCAGCGAACCAGCCAGGAGCCAUGCCUUCAGGUGCAGUGAGUGGAGAGUUGAUGGCCGUCGUGAGAGCCCAGGUGAAGAAGGAGAUACCUCACGCAAGGUACAGUUUGACAACCACCAGCACCUUUGAGAAGACCCUCGGGGCCAUAGAGAGUCCAAAUAGAAGCACUUUGUAUUGGUAGUUCUGAGAAUCUACAACGAAAAGAAGAAAACAAAACAUCUGAGCGCAGGGUGGACGGCAAUGUGAAAGUAUGCAUCUUGCAAGUCGAGGGAUGAGAACCAAUCAUCCUGUUUGGAUGCCAGUAAUAUGGAAGCAAGCGCUACCAUCUUGAAUUUUGCUUCUGAAUGAAUUUAUUGAGGGCUCGAAGGUCUAGAAUGGGCCUCUAACCCUCCAUCCUUUUUUCAGUCAAGAAGUAAUGGGAGCAGAACCCCUUGCCCCUAAACUGUGUGAGGACGCGUUCAAUCGCCCCAUGUGAAAGAGGAGCUCUACUUCUUGUUGGAGAAGGCUCUUGUGAGAGUGGUCCCUGAAAAGAGACAGAGAAGGGGGGUGGCCAAGGGGGUAUGGACACAAAGGUAAUAAGGUAGCCUUUUUCAAUUAUCUGCAGGAGCCAUCUAUCAGAGGUUAUACCAGUUGAAGAAGGGCAACAAUCGAUGCUGGAAGAGAUUUGCUUGCGUUGAUGGCGUUGGAAUAGGUGACAGGCUCUACAGACCCUCGAUCAGAUGAUCGAGUUUGCUUGUUGGACUGCUGCGACUGUUGGGAAUCGGUAGAGGAAGGGCGUCAUCAUUGGUUUCUGCCUCUGCCUUUGUUCUGUUGCUGCUGGUCUUGUCUCCUGCAGUGUUGUGCAUAUGGGGGGGUAUCGAGGUCUGGGGUAGGGCUGAAACCUACACUGCCUUCUUCUAGGUACCUGGGUGUGGAUCCCCAAAGACUGAAGCAUCACUCUGGAAUUUUUCAUGGAGUGGAGAAUUUCGUUGGUGUUAGCUGCAAACAACUUCUGGCUGUCGAAAGGCAGAUCUUCUACUGUAGAGUGAAUCUCCCUGGGGGAAUGGAAUGGAGCUAAACCAUGAUGCCCUCCUCAUUAUACCGCUGUUGCUAUAGAACGUGCAGCUGUGUCAGCAGCCUCGAAGGCGGCCUGUAACGCCGUUCUUGCAAUCGGGUGACCCUUGGAUACUGUAGCCUGUCACUUUGACACCUCAUUAAUAUGUAUCUUUAGUUAUGAAUAUGUAUUAGCUGUAUUCAUAUUCAGUUAGAAGUUUCUAGGAAUGUGGCACACGGCACGCAAGUAGCUGCACAUGUCACACUGUGCUGCUGCAUGCAGCACACUGAUCCAGGCUGUUACAACUUGUUUAUCAAAGCAACCAACCAGGGACCCUUAUUUUCCUGUACAGGGGCCUAUGAUUUUAAAGAUAAAGAUCAUGAAUAUUUAUGAGAAGGGUGCUUUGAAGGCCUGGCUAGCAGUUGUCUGUGUUCGUUCCUGCCACCAUUGUCCCUGCUUGUCUCCUGUCUGUUUAUGUCAGUCUAUAGUUAGUCAGGGUUAGCUAGAUCUCGUCAUCGAGUGUGUCCGUUAGGGUUAGUGCGUCGGUUCACUGCACCAGCCGCCGGGUACUUGUCCGUGACGGG
Pelodiscus sinensis (Chinese soft-shelled turtle) is the source of this 2351-nucleotide non-coding RNA. Lineage: Eukaryota; Metazoa; Chordata; Testudines; Trionychidae. The record is from RefSeq and is a predicted model, not a curated record.